CUGUGAUCCUCGGCAGCUGGGGGAAUGAGAGGAAACCACGUGGAGGCACGGUGGCCGAGACAACGGACUGUGAGCUCUUCUGGGAAUUUAGGGGAACACCCAUAAGUCGUUGGGAGACAUGUGGAGGGUCCACAGAGGCAGACCUCAGGAAGAAAAGGAACAUGUCAGUGGACAAGAGGCUAAGGGAGACCUCUGUGGAGGAGAUCCCAGGGAAGCACCGGGGUGGAUUGUGAAGUUAUGUCCGCAGGGACACACUUUCUGACAAUGCACUUAAAACUGCAACCAGAACAUCAGACCUUUUGUAUGAAGGAUGGGGAAGAAUAGCGUGUGACUGCUAAGUUGCUUCAACUGUGUCCGACUCUUCGCGACGCUAUGGACUGUAGCCUGCCAGGCUCCUCUGUCCAUG
Molecule: long non-coding RNA, 406 nt
Organism: Bubalus bubalis (water buffalo)
Lineage: Eukaryota; Metazoa; Chordata; Mammalia; Artiodactyla; Bovidae
Exons: 3
Source: RefSeq, a predicted model, not a curated record